GUGAGGAAUUUUCCGCAAUGGGCGAAAGCCUGACGGAGCAAUGUCGCGUGAAGGAUGAAGGCCUAUGGGUUGUAAACUUCUUUUCUCAGAAAAGAAUUAUGACGGUAUCUGAGGAAUAAGCAUCGGCUAACUCUGUGCCAGCAGCCGCGGUAAGACAGAGGAUGCAAGCGUUAUCCGGAAUGAUUGGGCGUAAAGCGUCUGUAGGUUGUUUAAAAAGUAUUCUGUCAAAGAUUAGGGCUUAACCCUAGAUAGGCAGAAUAAACUUUUAAGCUAGAGUUUGGUAGAGGCAGAGGGAAUUCCCGGUGGAGCGGUGAAAUGCGUAGAUAUCGGGAGGAACACCAAAGGCGAAGGCACUCUGCUGGGCCAAUACUAACACUGAGAGACGAAAGCGAGGGGAGCAAAUGGGAUUAGAUACCCCUGUAGUCC
Molecule: ribosomal RNA, 426 nt
Filed under: uncultured bacterium
Lineage: Bacteria
Description: bacterial SSU rRNA
Rfam family: Bacterial small subunit ribosomal RNA
Source: RNAcentral